Molecule: ribosomal RNA, 500 nt
Filed under: uncultured bacterium
Lineage: Bacteria
Description: partial 16S ribosomal RNA
Rfam family: Bacterial small subunit ribosomal RNA
Source: RNAcentral
AGUGAACGCUGGCGGUAGGCCUAACACAUGCAAGUCGAACGGCAGCACGGGAGCAAUCCUGGUGGCGAGUGGCGAACGGGUGAGUAAUGUAUCGGAACGUGCCCAGUCGUGGGGGGUAACGUAGCGAAAGCUACGCUAAUACCGCAUACGAUCUGUGGAUGAAAGCGGGGGACCGUAAGGCCUCGCGCGAUUGGAGCGGCCGAUAUCAGAUUAGGUAGUUGGUGGGGUAAAGGCCUACCAAGCCGACGAUCUGUAGCUGGUCUGAGAGGACGACCAGCCACACUGGGACUGAGACACGGCCCAGACUCCUACGGGAGGCAGCAGUGGGGAAUUUUGGACAAUGGGCGCAAGCCUGAUCCAGCAAUGCCGCGUGCAGGAUGAAGGCCUUCGGGUUGUAAACUGCUUUUGUACGGAGCGAAAAGGCUCUCUCUAAUACAGGGGGCUCAUGACGGUACCGUAAGAAUAAGCACCGGCUAACUACGUGCCAGCCGCCGCGGUAA